RNAcentral lists this ribosomal RNA (253 nucleotides) under uncultured bacterium. RNAcentral's name for it is "partial 16S ribosomal RNA". It matches the Rfam family "Bacterial small subunit ribosomal RNA", at positions 524 to 776 of the family's 1533-position model. The record is from RNAcentral.
UACGUAGGGGGCAAGCGUUGUCCGGAUUUAUUGGGCGUAAAGAGCGUGUAGGCGGCUAUACAGGUCCGUUGUGAAAACUCGAGGCUCAACCUCGAGACGCCGAUGGAAACCGUAUGGCUAGAGUCCGGAAGAGGAGAGCGGAAUUCCUGGUGUAGCGGUGAAAUGCGCAGAUAUCGGGAGGAACACCUAUGGCGAAGGCAGCUCGCUGGGACGUUACUGACGCUGAGACGCGAAAGCGUGGGGAGCAAACAGG